RNAcentral lists this ribosomal RNA (2302 nucleotides) under Clostridioides difficile. RNAcentral describes it as "bacterial LSU rRNA". It matches the Rfam family "Bacterial large subunit ribosomal RNA", at positions 14 to 2338 of the family's 2925-position model. Lineage: Bacteria; Bacillati; Bacillota; Clostridia; Peptostreptococcales; Peptostreptococcaceae. The record is from RNAcentral.
AGGGUGCAGGGCGGAUGCCUUGGCACUAGGAGCCGAUGAAGGACGUGAUAAGCUGCGAUAAGCUUCGGGGAGUUGCACGUAAACUUUGAUCCGAAGAUUUCCGAAUGAGGAAACUCACUUAGAGUAAUGUCUAAGUAUCAUUAAGUGAAUACAUAGCUUAAUGAGGGGAACUCAGGGAACUGAAACAUCUAAGUACCUGAAGGAAGAGAAAGAAAUUCGAUUCCGUAAGUAGCGGCGAGCGAACGCGGAUUAGCCCAAACCAAUAAAGUUUUCUUUAUUGGGGUUGCGGACAUAUCAUAACGAAGAGGUAUCGUAAUUGAAGAGGUUUGGAAAGACCCACCACAGAAGGUAAUAGUCCUGUAUGUUAAACGAGAAGACUUCAGAUAUGAUCCAGAGUACCACGGGACACGUGAAACCCUGUGGGAAGCAGGAGGGACCACCCUCCAAGGCUAAAUACUACCUAGUGACCGAUAGCGUAUAGUACCGUGAGGGAAAGGUGAAAAGAACCCCGGGAGGGGAGUGAAAUAGAACCUGAAACCCUGCACUUACAAGCUGUGGAAGCACAUUUCUUGUGUGACCGCGUACUUUUUGUAGAACGGGCCAACGAGUUACGUUAAGUAGCAAGGUUAAGCACUUAAGGUGCGGAGCCGUAGCGAAAGCGAGUUUUAACUGAGCGUUCAGUUACUUGACGUAGACCCGAAACCGGGCGACCUACCCAUGAGCAGGAUGAAGCGAAAGUAAAAUUUCGUGGAGGUCCGAACCCACGAGCGUUGAAAAGCUCGGGGAUGACUUGUGGGUAGCGGUGAAAUUCCAAUCGAGCCCGGAGAUAGCUGGUUCUCCCCGAAAUAGCUUUAGGGCUAGCCUCAAGGUGAGAGAUACGGAGGUAGAGCACUGAAUGUCCUAGGGGGUAUUGCACCUACCGAAGACUAUCAAACUCCGAAUGCCGUCAUCUUAUACUUGGGAGUCAGACUGUGGGUGAUAAGAUUCAUAGUCGAAAGGGCAACAGCCCAGAUCGUCAGCUAAGGUCCCUAAAUGUAAGUUAAGUGGUAAAGGAUGUGGGAUUGCACAGACAACCAGGAUGUUGGCUUAGAAGCAGCCACUCAUUCAAAGAGUGCGUAAUAGCUCACUGGUCGAGUGAUCCUGCGCCGAAGAUUUCCGGGGCUAAAACUUACUACCGAAGCUACGGCAUCAGUAAUGAUGGGUAGGGGAGCUUCCCAUACGGGUUGAAGCAUGACCGUAAGGACAUGUGGACAGUAUGGGAGUGAGAAUGUUGGCAUGAGUAGCGAGAUGUGGGUGAGAAUCCCACAGGCCGUAAACCCAAGGUUUCCAGGGGAAGGUUCGUCCGCCCUGGGUUAGUCGGGACCUAAGCUGAGGCCGAAAGGCGUAGGUGAUGGACAACAGGUUGAUAUUCCUGUACUACCGAUAACCGUUUGAGAGAAGGGAUGACACAGUAGGAUAAGCUAAGCACACUGUUGGUUAUGUGUGCCCAAGCAUUGAGGCAGUCAAAGUAGGCAAAUCCGCUUUGAUAAUGCUGGGAUGUGAUGGGGAGCGAAAUUUAGUAGCGAAGUAGCUGAUUUCACACUGUCAAGAAAAGUCUCUAUCGAGGUUAAAGGUACCCGUACCGCAAACCGACACAGGUGGGUGAGGAGAGUAUCCUAAGGCCAGCGAGAGAACUGUUGUUAAGGAACUCGGCAAAAUGACCCCGUAACUUAGGGAUAAGGGGUGCCACCAUCAGGUGGCCGCAGAGAAUAGGCCCAAGCGACUGUUUACCAAAAACAUAGGUUUCUGCUAAGUCGCAAGACGAUGUAUAGGAGCUGACGCCUGCCCGGUGCUGGAAGGUUAAGGGGAUCUGUUAGAGCAAUCGAAGCAGUGAACUUAAGCCCCAGUAAACGGCGGCCGUAACUAUAACGGUCCUAAGGUAGCGAAAUUCCUUGUCGGGUAAGUUCCGACCCGCACGAAAGGCGUAACGAUUUGGGCACUGUCUCAACAACAGACUCGGUGAAAUUGUAAUUCCGGUGAAGAUGCCGGAUACCUGCGACAGGACGGAAAGACCCCAUGGAGCUUUACUGUAGCUUGACAUUGGGUUUUGGUACUACAUGUACAGGAUAGGUGGGAGGCUUUGAAACCAGGACGCCAGUUUUGGCGGAGCCAUCCUUGGGAUACCACCCUUGUAGUACUGGGACUCUAACCAUAGGCCAUGAAUCUGGUCUUGGGACACUGUCAGGUGGGCAGUUUGACUGGGGCGGUCGCCUCCCAAAAGGUAACGGAGGCGCUCAAAGGUUCUCUCAGUACGGUCGGAAAU